This 253-nucleotide ribosomal RNA is filed under the name uncultured bacterium. RNAcentral describes it as "partial 16S ribosomal RNA". It matches the Rfam family "Bacterial small subunit ribosomal RNA", at positions 524 to 776 of the family's 1533-position model. The record is from RNAcentral.
GACGUAGGGGGCGAGCGUUGUCCGGAUUCAUUGGGCGUAAAGCGCGCGUAGGCGGCUACUUAAGUCGGAUGUGAAAGCCCCUGGCUCAACUGGGGAAGUGCACCCGAAACUGAGUGGCUUGAGUACUAAAGAGGGUCGCGGAAUUCCCGGUGUAGAGGUGAAAUUCGUAGAUAUUCGGAAGAACACCAGUGGCGAAGGCGACUUACUGGACACAUAUUGACGCUGAGGUGCGAAAGCGUGGGGAGCAAACAGG